AUGGACAGCGGCGGCAACAGGAGCGGCACUGCCGGGGGAGGGGACGGCGCGUGCAGCGGCGGCCACCUGUGCCACCUGUGCGGGUACAAGUACGCGAGCGCGCACCCCAGCGCCAAGCAGCGGCGCGCGCACCGCAAGAACUGCGGCGUUGGCGGCGGCGGCGGCGGCAAGUCGCCGCCCACCGCCGCCGCCGCCAGUGCGGAGGUGGAGGAAGAGCGCCAAGGCAAGAAGUUGGUGCUAGGUGAGGAUGUCGGAGGAGAGGGAAAUGGGGCGCCUGCUUCGGAUUCUGGCGGCGUUUUGCCCGGAUCUGCGGAGGAUGUUGGGAAUGCAGUAGAUGACGACGACACUGGAGUGCACUCUUCUCCUAAUACUGCCGGAGUUCACGUCAUUAUCAAUGAUGUCACUUCUGAAGGGCCUCCUAAGGCUAAUGGGACUGACGUUCAAACUGAAGUUGAUCUGCGGCUGCCUGAAAGCGCACCGCAUUUUCAAGAUUUGUAUCCGUCUGAAUCACAUUGUAGUGGUGAUCAGCAUCAGGAUGCUGAAUCACAUUGUAGUGGUGAUCAGCAUCAGGAUGCCUCCGCUUCCCAUUGUCAGCCAGAGCCUGAAGAUGGUGCAAGAUUCAGUCCAGACUUCUCUGCAGAUGAAACAAGCAAGUCAAAUGCCUCCGCUUCCCAUUGUCAGCCAGAGCCUGAAGAUGGUGCAAGAUUCAGUCCAGACUUCUCUGCAGAUGAAACAAGCAAGUCAAAUGCUGUGUCCCUGGCAUCAGAUGCUGCUUCAGGUGAAUUUUCUGCACAAACAAUUGCUACAGCUGGUAGCCCUGAUGGUAUUGCCGUUACUGAAAAUGAUUGUAUGAUCAACACCAUUGAAGAAGACAAAACUAGUGAGGGCAAGUCGGUAAAAGGUAAUGAGAUUGAUUCGUCCUAUCAAGAGAAGCUGCAAAGCAAAAUUGUUGAGGGGCAUAGUCCUACUGCAGUGGAGGAAGAUCUAUAUGUCAACGACUUAGGUGUGGUUCCCGGAGAGCAAAACCCCAGUGAAGACACUGAAUCCAAGGACGAAAGCGGGGUUAUCGAACCUAACCCAGUUGAGCAAGUUUGUACCAUCAAGGAACCUGUCGAUGUACUUGGGAAUAAGGAGCCUUCAACUGAUAAUAAUGUCCACACAGAUGAUACCAGUAGUGAUGAUUUAUCUCAACUUGCUUCUGGUGGUUGUCAUUUGGAGGCAGCAGAUGUUGUCGAAACACAGCAGCAAAUUGAUUCUACUUCUGUGGUAGCAUAUCAGCUGACAAAUUCCAAACAGACAUGCCUUGAAGAAGGGUCAAGCUAUCCUGGUGCAGAUGAGGUUCUCCAAGCUGUAUCAAGUGUAACAGAGUCUCCUGUGGAUAGUCUAGUUGAGGAGGUCAUAUCAGCUGGCAGUGCUUCUGAUGUUACAAAGAAAGAUACCUCCGAGGUGACAACAGAAGAUGACACACAGAAUAAUUCUAGCCAUACAAGUAAUGUCAUUUCCAUGCCAUCUCAAAUUGACCCAAUAGAGCCUAGCUUAGACCCUACUCAGGAGAUCAGUAUGAGUAGCAAGCAUGAUGUUGAUGAGAAUAAACAAAUUGAGAACGUAAGUGUGGACCUUACCUCCCGUGAGACUAACGAUGUAUGCAGUACGGAUAACAUUGAAGAGACUAAGCAGAUUGAAGAAAUUAGUGCAGAAGAGAGUACUCUGAAGACCAGCAUAUUACAGAGUGCAAGUAGUGUUGAGGAAAAAGAACAGAUUGAAGAGGUGAUAGCAGAUCCUGCUUCUGACAAUAUGGAUGUGAUAAGCAGCAGAGACAUAAUUGUGCAAAAGGAACAGAGUGCUGUCCAUGUGGGAACUGUUCAUGAGAUAAAUGUGGUGGAUAUCCCAGCUAUAGUUGAAUUAGAGAAGCACGGUGAAGAAAGUACCGCAGACCUCCCAGCUAUAGUUGAAUUAGAGAAGCACGGUGAAGAAACUACCGCAGACCCUACUGCUCAGAAGGCAAACAUUACAGAUGAAGUUGAAGAAAAGAAGCAAGAUGAAGAAAUUACGCCAGAUCCUGCUCCUCAUGCUAUCAAUGUGACACACGAAGACAAUAUGCAGAAUGAAGACAAGCCAGAGAUCCCUAGUUCUCACGAAAAUGUACUUGACGACACAGAUAUUGUUAAAGAAAAGGGUGAAGAAACUAUGUCAGAGCCAACCUCUCACAACACUGAUGCGGUAAGCAUUGUUGAUGCCAUUCAAGGAAAGGAGAAAGAAGAGGUAACUCCAGAAUCUACUCUUGAUGUUAGCUUGGUCCACACCAUUGACAAUGUCAAAGGAAAGGAGAGUGAAGAGCCUACUUCAGGCCCUACAUCCGUCAAUGCCGGAGGCAAUGCAGGUACUAUCCUUGUCGCGGACUCUAGUUCUCACAUGAACAGCACGCCACAGGGCACAAAUGAUGCCAAAGAAGAGGACCGGGAUGAAAAGGCUGCUGCGGACCAUGCUCGGACCGAUGGUGUUGAAGAAAAGAAGCAGAAGGAAGAGACUGCCGCAGAGACCAACACCAAGGAUAGCGCAAAUGACCAUCUGAAUGAAGAGAUCACAGACAAGGAAAUGACAAUAGAUUCAGAUAAGAGCCAUGUGUCCCUGAAGUCCCUUCUCUCCGAGAAAGGCAUUGAAUUUGAAGUUAAAGAAAAGAAGGCGAGCACCAAGGACCGAAUGCUGUCGUUCAGGCGCAGAUCGUCGAAGGACAACCCUUCGCCUACCAAGCCAGGUUCUGAGCAGCAAGACUGGAACUCUCCGGCCAGGCUACCGGUGGAGAAGUCGCCGAAAGGGAAGAAGCAGCAGUGGAUGCCGUUUAUUUGCUGCCACUCCAUGAACUGA
RNAcentral lists this ribosomal RNA (2865 nucleotides) under Triticum aestivum (bread wheat). RNAcentral's name for it is "partial small subunit ribosomal RNA". Lineage: Eukaryota; Viridiplantae; Streptophyta; Magnoliopsida; Poales; Poaceae. The record is from RNAcentral.